UACUCGAGUGGCGAACGGGUGAGUAACACGUGGGUGAUCUGCCCUGCACUUCGGGAUAAGCUUGGGAAACUGGGUCCAAUACCGGUUAGGAGCCAUCUUUAGUGUGGUGGUUGGAAAGUUUUUUCGGUGUAGGAUGAGCUCGCGGCCUAUCAGCUUGUUGGUGGGGUAAUGGCCUACCAAGGCGGCGACGGGUAGCCGGCCUGAGAGGGUGUACGGCCACAUUGGGACUGAGAUACGGCCCAG
Molecule: ribosomal RNA, 243 nt
Filed under: uncultured Actinomycetales bacterium
Lineage: Bacteria; Bacillati; Actinomycetota; Actinomycetes; Actinomycetales
Description: partial 16S ribosomal RNA
Rfam family: Bacterial small subunit ribosomal RNA
Source: RNAcentral